GGAGAGAUGGCUGAGUGGUUGAUAGCUCCGGUCUUGAAAACCGGUAUAGUUCUAGGAACUAUCGAGGGUUCGAAUCCCU
This 79-nucleotide transfer RNA is filed under the name Aegilops juvenalis. RNAcentral's name for it is "partial tRNA-Ser". It matches the Rfam family "tRNA", at positions 1 to 62 of the family's 71-position model. From Rfam's summary of the family: Transfer RNA (tRNA) molecules are approximately 80 nucleotides in length. Their secondary structure includes four short double-helical elements and three loops (D, anti-codon, and T loops). Lineage: Eukaryota; Viridiplantae; Streptophyta; Magnoliopsida; Poales; Poaceae. The record is from RNAcentral.